RNAcentral lists this ribosomal RNA (472 nucleotides) under uncultured bacterium. RNAcentral describes it as "bacterial SSU rRNA". It matches the Rfam family "Bacterial small subunit ribosomal RNA", at positions 335 to 799 of the family's 1533-position model. The record is from RNAcentral.
ACUCCUACGGGAGGCAGCAGUAGGGAAUAUUGCACAAUGGGCGCAAGCCUGAUGCAGCCAUGCCGCGUGUGUGAAGAAGGCCUUCGGGUUGUAAAGCACUUUCAGUCGUGAGGAAGGUAGUGUAGUUAAUAGCUGCAUUAUUUGACGUUAGCGACAGAAGAAGCACCGGCUAACUCCGUGCCAGCAGCCGCGGUAAUACGGAGGGUGCAAGCGUUAUCCGGAUUCAUUGGGUUUAAAGGGUGCGUAGGCGGAACGGUAAGUCAGUGGUGAAAUCCUGCAGCUUAACUGUAGAACUGCCAUUGAUACUGUCGUUCUUGAGUGCGCUUGACGUGGGCGGAAUGUGCCGUGUAGCGGUGAAAUGCUUAGAUAUGGCACAGAACACCAAUUGCGAAGGCAGCUCACGAAAGCGAAACUGACGCUGAGGCACGAAAGCGUGGGGAUCGAACAGGAUUAGAUACCCUGGUAGGCUCUG